Non-coding RNA from Pteropus alecto (black flying fox), 140 nucleotides. NCBI's taxonomy places the organism in Eukaryota, Metazoa, Chordata, Mammalia, Chiroptera, Pteropodidae. The record is from Rfam.
AACCCCGUGGCAGUGGGCAAAGACACACCUGAUUAUUGGUGUUACUCUUACAUCAGUCAAGGGACAAAGCAGACGUACAGUUCAUCCUAGCUGGAUGCCUAGAUUGGUGACCAGAAGUGUUUCACGCCUGGGGCACAAUA